Molecule: ribosomal RNA, 430 nt
Filed under: Pseudomonadota bacterium
Lineage: Bacteria; Pseudomonadati; Pseudomonadota
Description: Proteobacteria bacterium partial 16S ribosomal RNA
Rfam family: Bacterial small subunit ribosomal RNA
Source: RNAcentral
UGGGGAAUAUUGGACAAUGGGGGGAACCCUGAUCCAGCCAUGCCGCGUGUGUGAAGAAGGCCUUAUAGUUGUAAAGCACUUUAAGCGAGGAGGAGGGUACUGGUAUUAAUACUACCAGGUACUGGACGUUACUCGCAGAAUAAGCACCGGCUAACUCUGUGCCAGCAGCCGCGGUAAUACAGAGGGUGCGAGCGUUAAUCGGAUUUACUGGGCGUAAAGCGUGCGUAGGCGGCUAAUUGAGUCGGAUGUGAAAUCCCCGAGCUUAACUUGGGAAUUGCAUUCGAUACUGGUUAGCUAGAGUGUGGGAGAGGAUGGUAGAAUUCCAGGUGUAGCGGUGAAAUGCGUAGAGAUCUGGAGGAAUACCGAUGGCGAAGGCAGCCAUCUGGCCUAACACUGACGCUGAGGUACGAAAGCAUGGGGGGCAAACAGG